UGGGGAAUUUUGGACAAUGGGGGAAACCCUGAUCCAGCCAUCCCGCGUGUGCGAUGAAGGCCUUCGGGUUGUAAAGCACUUUUGGCAGGAAAGAAACGUCAUGGGUUAAUACCCCGUGAAACUGACGGUACCUGCAGAAUAAGCACCGGCUAACUACGUGCCAGCAGCCGCGGUAAUACGUAGGGUGCAAGCGUUAAUCGGAAUUACUGGGCGUAAAGCGUGCGCGGGCGGUUCGGAAAGAAAGAUGUGAAAUCCCAGAGCUCAACUUUGGAACUGCAUUUUUACCUACCGGGCGAGAGUGUGGCAGAGGGGGGUGGAAUUCCGCGUGUAGCAGUGACAUGCGUAGAUAUGCGGAGGAACGCCGAUGGCGAAGGCAGCCUCCUGGGAUAACACUGACGCUCAUGCACGAAAGCGUGGGGAGCAAACAGG
This 429-nucleotide ribosomal RNA is filed under the name Acidobacteriota bacterium. Its description in RNAcentral is "Acidobacteria bacterium partial 16S ribosomal RNA". It matches the Rfam family "Bacterial small subunit ribosomal RNA", at positions 355 to 776 of the family's 1533-position model. Lineage: Bacteria; Pseudomonadati; Acidobacteriota. The record is from RNAcentral.